RNAcentral lists this ribosomal RNA (893 nucleotides) under uncultured bacterium. RNAcentral's name for it is "bacterial SSU rRNA". It matches the Rfam family "Bacterial small subunit ribosomal RNA", at positions 9 to 873 of the family's 1533-position model. The record is from RNAcentral.
AGAGUUUGAUCCUGGCUCAGGACGAACGCUGGCGGCGUGCCUAACACAUGCAAGUCGUACGAGAAAAUCCGCUUCGGCGGGUGAGUAAAGUGGCGCACGGGUGAGUAACGCGUGGAUAAUCUGCCUUUAAGCGGGGAAUAACUUACCGAAAGGUGGGCUAAUACCCCAUAAAGCUAUGGAGCUCCGGUUUUCAUAGCCAAAGAGAGCCUCUGCAUGCAAGCCCUCACUUAGAGAUGAGUCCGCGUACCAUUAGCUAGUUGGUGGGGUAAUGGCCUACCAAGGCGACGAUGGUUAGCUGGUCUGAGAGGGUGAUCAGCCACACUGGAACUGAGACACGGUCCAGACUCCUACGGGAGGCAGCAGUGAGGAAUAUUGCGCAAUGGGGGCAACCCUGACGCAGCAACGCCGCGUGAGUGAGGAAGGUUUUCGGAUCGUAAAGCUCUGUCGGGUGGGAAGAAAUGUAUGGAGGUUAACAGCCUUUGUACUUGACGGUACCGCCAAAGGAAGCACCGGCUAACUCCGUGCCAGCAGCCGCGGUAAUACGGGGGGUGCUAGCGUUGUUCGGAAUCAUUGGGCGUAAAGAGCGUGUAGGCGGCUAGGCAAGUCAGAUGUGAAAUCCCUGGGCUUAACCCAGGACGUGCAUUUGAAACUGCUUGGCUUGGGUAGGGAAGAGGGAAGUGGAAUUCCUGGUGUAGAGGUGAAAUUCGUAGAUAUCAGGAGGAACACCGGUGGUGAAGGCGACUUCCUGGUCCUAUACUGACGCUGAGACGCGAGAGCGUGGGGAGCAAACAGGAUUAGAUACCCUGGUAGUCCACGCCGUAAACGAUGUUAACGAGGUGUUGAGGGUAUUGACCCCUUCAGUGCCGAAGCUAACGCAUUAAGGAACCGCCUGG